RNAcentral lists this transfer RNA (58 nucleotides) under Orthione mesoamericana. RNAcentral describes it as "tRNA-Arg". The record is from RNAcentral. Lineage: Eukaryota; Metazoa; Arthropoda; Malacostraca; Isopoda; Bopyridae.
CUGCUAGUAGUAUAAUAAAUACAUUUGGUUUCGACCCAAAAGAUCAAUAGCUGGCAGG